This 2216-nucleotide long non-coding RNA is filed under the name Olea europaea subsp. europaea. The record is from RNAcentral. Lineage: Eukaryota; Viridiplantae; Streptophyta; Magnoliopsida; Lamiales; Oleaceae.
UUUUGGAAAUAGAUAGAAGGAUCGAGAGAGAGAAAGAGACUAAGAGACCGAGAGAGAAAUGAAAAAAAAAAUGAAGAAGAAGGAGGAAGAGGAGGAAUAGGUGUUGGCUUUUCAAUUUCCAUUCUUUACUUCUCCUUAUUUUCAAGAGGUAAGUAAAAAUUAUGUAAUUGAAAUUUUAAGGUUCAUGGAAAAUUAUUCAAAAUUGGAAAUUUAGCUAGAAUAUAUAUAUAUAUUGGAAGAUUUGUGUUGAAGUGUGCAAAAAUGUGAAAUGGGUUUGUAAUUUAGAGCUUGAAUCUUUGAUUUAUUGCGUGUAUAUGAUGUAAAACACCUUAUUUGUAGUUUAUUAUAGUGAGAUAUGAAGUUAAGGUUAGAUUUUGGUAUUUAGUAGCAAUUUUCGUGCGAAAUUCAAGGAAAGGUGUUAGUUCUGAAAUUCUGCCAAGAAAAGUGCUAUUUCUGUCAAGGGUUUCGAAGCCAGAUUUCAAUAUAUUGGUGCCAUAUUUCUAUAUUCUGGAAUUUUAGUGCUGUUUUUGUCAAACCUUUGAUUUCCAAAUUUUUAAAGGUUUGAAUGAAUUUAUAUGAUAAAUAUUGAAGUAUAUAUAUUGGACUAUGUAUAGGGGUUGUAUAUACAUUAAGGUAGUGAUUUUAAGGAAGUGUGAGUGGUGUAAUGGAUUUGAUAGUGUAUGGUGAUUAGUUGAUAAAUCAUUAAAGAGAAGAAAAGUUGGAGAAUUGGAAAUGUAAGAAUAAGUAUAGAAGUUGAGAAGUCAAGUGGUGGGUUUAUAUUAAUUUAAUUGUUAGAUUUUAAUUCGAGAAAUUAUACCGUUAUUUCAGGUGGGAAUGUGGAAGCUUGGAAAUGUUCGUCAAUUUAAUCAGAUUUUUAUCCAUAGAUCUGUGAGUGGAAAAAAUUAAAUAUUUUCAAGUAUUGAUAAAUUAAUUAUACCAAUACAUUAUGUGCAUUUAUAUGUUCAAUUACAUGAUUAUUUUGGAAAUAUUCUUUCAUUAUGAUAUUUGUAGAAUUCAAAGAUUAGAUAUGAAAAUAUUUGUGAUUUGGAAUGUGAGACAUGUGAUAUUAAGAUUGACCAGAAAAGUACCCAUGAUUAUAUAUUUCUUCUAGUUCACAGAAGGGCCUAGGCCGUGUUCCAUACUACACUGAGGGGUCGACUAGGGAUGAAGGGGUCAUGACCAUGUAUAUAUAGUUCACUAAGGGGCAUUGGCCGUAUUCUAGAAUUGAUUAUCACAGGUCUUUAAGACCCGCUUUUGUUCACAGAGGGGGUCAAAGGCCCGUGACGAAAGUGCUUGGCUCGAUGGGCGGAUUUCAAAUUUUAGUCAGAUGGUAUAUUUUUGGUGGAUCACAUGUAAUGUGAAUAGAUGAUGGUAUAGAUAUCAGCUAAUGGCUAUAUCAUGAUUAUGAGAUAAUAGUUACAGUGUUAUAAGAGUGUCUCACUUUUUGUCUAUAAUUGUGCAAUGCAAUCGUGUGAAAUAUUAAAUGAUUAUAGCUUGAUGUUAGAUAAAAAUGUUUAAAUAAGAAAGUAUAAUUAUUUUCGAACUCUUCCACUCACUGAGCUAUAAACUCAUAUUUUUCCACAAAUUUUCUUACAGGUAGUAUUGGUCCCUGAUAGCUUGAGGAGCCUGGUGGUUUUAGAAUUAGAGCCAUACGACAUAUUGAAUGAUACGAUUCAUUUGGUAAAAUGUGAAGUAAUCGUUUCGGGCCCAAUGCAUUAUAUUUUUCAUAAAUAUUUGAUUCUGGCGCAUAUUUUGUAGUAAGUCAUAAUCAGUCUUGGUGAUGAAUUUGACAUCUAAUCAAUAUUUAUCACCGGUGCACAUCAUGUUUCGGGUCCAUUAGGGUAAUUAGGGACAGGCCGUGUCAAUUAAAUUAUUAAUAUUAUGAGAACCUCCUAUAGAGCAAGGUAGAAUGAAACUCCUUGGAUCAUUUAGACUACGAGGGAGCUUAUGUUAGAGGAUUGCACUACACUCUUUAGACAAAAUGCAAUCGUUUCAUAUUCGCGUAGUUUUCUCUCUUUAAUCAACACCACUUUCAAACACUUAGAGUAGUUUGGAAUUUGGAGAAUGGCCAAAGGAAUGUUGAUGUGGAGUUGUUGGUGAGCAUCCAAAAACUUCUUGAACUACUUCUUCAAAUUAUUCUUCUACAACCUUUGAGGGAAUGAGAUUGGAAGAGUAUGAUUAUUGACAGAAGAUUGCCUUAACCUGUGAACUGUCCG